UUAAGUUCAGCGGGUAUCCCUACCUGAUCCGAGGUCAAGAGCGUUAAAUAAGGCUUCUUGGAUGCUGAGGUACAAUGGUCCAGGGCGCAAAAUGUGCUGCGCUCCGAAACAAGUACGCCGGCUGCCAAUUGUUUUAAGGCGAGUUCACACGCAAAGGCGGAACAAACACCCAACACCAAGCAGAGCUUGAGGGUACAAAU
This 200-nucleotide unclassified non-coding RNA is filed under the name Dothideomycetes sp. Its description in RNAcentral is "partial internal transcribed spacer 2". Lineage: Eukaryota; Fungi; Ascomycota; Dothideomycetes. The record is from RNAcentral.